UUGAUUAUGUGCUUAUCAGCUGUGGAUAUUCGAUGUCUUGAUUCUCAGAUAUUCACAUCUGAUUUAUAUUUAAGAUUUUACAUAAAAUUUUUAUUACAUUAUUUAUAUAAUUAAUUUAUUAGUUUAUAAUCAUGUUUAAGAUUAUAAAUAGUUUUUUCGUGAAUUUAGAAUUUAGUUAGAUAAUAUAUAAUUGCUAAAAAAUAAGUUUUAUGAAUUUUUGAGAUUUAAUAUAAAUAUUUUAGAAAAAUUAAAGUUGUGAAGAUUGACAUUAGAUAUGAAAAUCCGAGAAUGGUGUGGUCGGAUGUCGAAGAACGGUGAGAUCCGAUUCGUCCUUUUGCAUAUUUGUAUUUUUCUUCUUUUUUUCCAUUAAUGUUUGCUGCAAAAUGUAUUGAUUUAUAGAUGUUCCAACAUUAAGAACUUUUCAAAAGGUCUUUAGUAAAUUCUGAUGUUCAGUGAUUGAGUUACUUGUCUUCAACUACAGAGUCUACAAUGAAAUUAACGUUAAGAUUUAGUGGUUUUUAGUUGACAUACCCAAUGCUUUCUUGAAUUGGGUUUAUCCCGCUUCAAGUGUAGUGCUGGUGCUUAGAUAUUUUUUUUUUUCUGUGUUGAUUUCAGAGUGAUGGAGAGACUUUCUUUUCCUGCCGGUGUCUAUGAAGACUGUGUCGGUGAACUGGUGGAUGAGGAUGUCCUUUGUGUUGUGUGCCGAAGAAGCAAUGGAAAGAAAAGAACAGAGGAAGAGGAAAGCUAGAAGAAUAAGUGCUCUGUGUACAAAAGAAAAAAAGAAGAAGGGGAAAGCAGAGGGAAUGAAGAAAUGAUAUCCGAGUGAAUAUUAAUGCACCAGUCACAAUGUUGCUGCUGCUGUAAUUAAAAAAAAUCUUUGACCAAGCUUAAUUUUUUUAUUUUUUAAAUAUUAAAAACGUUUUAAUUACAGAUAAUACGGGAAUUUUGUAGAAGUUUGGAGGUGCAGGAUGAAGUGAUUGGAGGUGUAGGAUGAAACAACCCGAUCUAAAUUAACCAUUCCGUAGUUUCUUUAUGAACCUCCAUAAUUUCAACCUACACUUAUAAAUUCAAAAUUUUCAAAUUUA
Molecule: long non-coding RNA, 1085 nt
Organism: Vigna angularis (adzuki bean)
Lineage: Eukaryota; Viridiplantae; Streptophyta; Magnoliopsida; Fabales; Fabaceae
Exons: 2
Source: RefSeq, a predicted model, not a curated record